This 919-nucleotide ribosomal RNA is filed under the name Mycobacterium sp. Its description in RNAcentral is "bacterial SSU rRNA". It matches the Rfam family "Bacterial small subunit ribosomal RNA", at positions 508 to 1423 of the family's 1533-position model. Lineage: Bacteria; Bacillati; Actinomycetota; Actinomycetes; Mycobacteriales; Mycobacteriaceae. The record is from RNAcentral.
CCAGCAGCCGCGGUAAUACGUAGGGUCCGAGCGUUGUCCGGGAAUUACUGGGCGUAAAGAGCUCGUAGGUGGUUUGUCGCGUUGUUCGUGAAAACUCACAGCUCAACUGUGGGCGUGCGGGCGAUACGGGCAGACUAGAGUACUGCAGGGGAGACUGGAAUUCCUGGUGUAGCGGUGGAAUGCGCAGAUAUCAGGAGGAACACCGGUGGCGAAGGCGGGUCUCUGGGCAGUAACUGACGCUGAGGAGCGAAAGCGUGGGGAGCGAACAGGAUUAGAUACCCUGGUAGUCCACGCCGUAAACGGUGGGUACUAGGUGUGGGUUUCCUUCCUUGGGAUCCGUGCCGUAGCUAACGCAUUAAGUACCCCGCCUGGGGAGUACGGCCGCAAGGCUAAAACUCAAAGAAAUUGACGGGGGCCCGCACAAGCGGCGGAGCAUGUGGAUUAAUUCGAUGCAACGCGAAGAACCUUACCUGGGUUUGACAUGCACAGGACGUGCCUAGAGAUAGGUAUUCCCUUGUGGCCUGUGUGCAGGUGGUGCAUGGCUGUCGUCAGCUCGUGUCGUGAGAUGUUGGGUUAAGUCCCGCAACGAGCGCAACCCUCGUCCUAUGUUGCCAGCGGGUUAUGCCGGGGACUCGUAGGAGACUGCCGGGGUCAACUCGGAGGAAGGUGGGGAUGACGUCAAGUCAUCAUGCCCCUUAUGUCCAGGGCUUCACACAUGCUACAAUGGCCGGUACAAAGGGCUGCGAUGCCGUGAGGUGGAGCGAAUCCUUUCAAAGCCGGUCUCAGUUCGGAUCGGGGUCUGCAACUCGACCCCGUGAAGUCGGAGUCGCUAGUAAUCGCAGAUCAGCAACGCUGCGGUGAAUACGUUCCCGGGCCUUGUACACACCGCCCGUCACGUCAUGAAAGUCGGUAACACCCG